Molecule: ribosomal RNA, 375 nt
Filed under: uncultured bacterium
Lineage: Bacteria
Description: bacterial SSU rRNA
Rfam family: Bacterial small subunit ribosomal RNA
Source: RNAcentral
UAAUACGAAGGGGGCUAGCGUUGUUCGGAAUUACUGGGCGUAAAGCGCGCGCAGGCGGUUUCUCAAGUCAGUGGUGAAAGCCCGGAGCUCAACUCCGGAACUGCCAUUGAAACUGUGAAACUUGAGGACGAGAGAGGUGAGUGGAAUUCCCAGUGUAGAGGUGAAAUUCGUAGAUAUUGGGAAGAACACCGGUGGCGAAGGCGGCUCACUGGCUCGUUUCUGACGCUCAGGCGCGACAGCGUGGGGAUCAAACAGGAUUAGAUACCCUGGUAGUCCACGCCGUAAACGAUGAACGCUAGCCGUUGGGUAGCUUGCUAUUCAGUGGCGCAGCUAACGCAUUAAGCGUUCCGCCUGGGGAGUACGGCCGCAAGGUUG